This 1499-nucleotide ribosomal RNA is filed under the name metagenome. RNAcentral's name for it is "bacterial SSU rRNA". It matches the Rfam family "Bacterial small subunit ribosomal RNA". The record is from RNAcentral.
GAGUUUGAUCAUGGCUCAGAUUGAACGCUGGCGGCAGGCCUAACACAUGCAAGUCGAACGGUAACAGGAAGCAGCUUGCUGCUUCGCUGACGAGUGGCGGACGGGUGAGUAAUGUCUGGGAAGCUGCCUGAUGGAGGGGGAUAACUACUGGAAACGGUAGCUAAUACCGCAUAAUGUCGCAAGACCAAAGAGGGGGACCUUCGGGCCUCUUGCCAUCGGAUGUGCCCAGAUGGGAUUAGCUUGUUGGUGGGGUAACGGCUCACCAAGGCGACGAUCCCUAGCUGGUCUGAGAGGAUGACCAGCCACACUGGAACUGAGACACGGUCCAGACUCCUACGGGAGGCAGCAGUGGGGAAUAUUGCACAAUGGGCGCAAGCCUGAUGCAGCCAUGCCGCGUGUAUGAAGAAGGCCUUCGGGUUGUAAAGUACUUUCAGCGGGGAGGAAGGGAGUAAAGUUAAUACCUUUGCUCAUUGACGUUACCCGCAGAAGAAGCACCGGCUAACUCCGUGCCAGCAGCCGCGGUAAUACGGAGGGUGCAAGCGUCAAUCGGAAUUACUGGGCGUAAAGCGCACGCAGGCGGUUUGUUAAGUCAGAUGUGAAAUCCCCGGGCUCAACCUGGGAACUGCAUCUGAUACUGGCAAGCUUGAGUCUCGUAGAGGGGGGUAGAAUUCCAGGUGUAGCGGUGAAAUGCGUAGAGAUCUGGAGGAAUACCGGUGGCGAAGGCGGCCCCCUGGACGAAGACUGACGCUCAGGUGCGAAAGCGUGGGGAGCAAACAGGAUUAGAUACCCUGGUAGUCCACGCCGUAAACGAUGUCGACUUGGAGGUUGUGCCCUUGAGGCGUGGCUUCCGGAGCUAACGCGUUAAGUCGACCGCCUGGGGAGUACGGCCGCAAGGUUAAAACUCAAAUGAAUUGACGGGGGCCCGCACAAGCGGUGGAGCAUGUGGUUUAAUUCGAUGCAACGCGAAGAACCUUACCUGGUCUUGACAUCCACGGAAGUUUUCAGAGAUGAGAAUGUGCCUUCGGGAACCGUGAGACAGGUGCUGCAUGGCUGUCGUCAGCUCGUGUUGUGAAAUGUUGGGUUAAGUCCCGCAACGAGCGCAACCCUUAUCCUUUGUUGCCAGCGGUCCGGCCGGGAACUCAAAGGAGACUGCCAGUGAUAAACUGGAGGAAGGUGGGGAUGACGUCAAGUCAUCAUGGCCCUUACGACCAGGGCUACACACGUGCUACAAUGGCGCAUACAAAGAGAAGCGACCUCGCGAGAGCAAGCGGACCUCAUAAAGUGCGUCGUAGUCCGGAUUGGAGUCUGCAACUCGACUCCAUGAAGUCGGAAUCGCUAGUAAUCGUGGAUCAGAGUGCCACGGUGAAUACGUUCCCGGGCCUUGUACACACCGCCCGUCACACCAUGGGAGUGGGUUGCAAAAGAAGUAGGUAGCUUAACCUUCGGGAGGGCGCUUACCACUUUGUGAUUCAUGACUGGGGUGAAGUCGUAACAAGGUA